This 194-nucleotide ribosomal RNA is filed under the name uncultured bacterium. RNAcentral describes it as "partial 16S ribosomal RNA". It matches the Rfam family "Bacterial small subunit ribosomal RNA", at positions 338 to 524 of the family's 1533-position model. The record is from RNAcentral.
CCUACGGGAGGCAGCAGUGGGGAAUAUUGCACAAUGGGCGCAAGCCUGAUGCAGCCAUGCCGCGUGUGUGAAGAAGGCCUUAGGGUUGUAAAGCACUUUCAGCGAGGAGGAAGGCAUCAUACUUAAUACGUGUGGUGAUUGACGUUACCCGCAGAAGAAGCACCGGCUAACUCCGUGCCAGCAGCCGCGGUAAU